AGUGAACGCUGGCGGUAGGCCUAACACAUGCGAGUCGAACGGCAGCACAGUAAGAGUUUGCUCUUACGGGUGGCGAGUGGCGGGCGGGUGAGGAAUACAUCGGAAUCUACUUUUUCGUGGGGGAUAACGUAGGGAAACUUACUCUAAUACCGCAUACGACCCACGGGUGAAAGCAGGGGAUCUUCGCACCUUGCGCGAUUGUAUGAGCCGAUGUCGGAUUAGCUAGUUGGCGGGGUAAAGGCCCACCAAGGCGACGAUCCGUAGCUGGUCUGAGAGGAUGAUCAGCCACACUGGAACUGAGACACGGUCCAGACUCCUACGGGAGGCAGCAGUGGGGAAUAUUGGACAAUGGGCGCAAGCCUGAUCCAGCCAUACCGCGUGGGUGAAGAAGGCCUUCGGGUUGUAAAGCCCUUUUGUUGGGAAAGAAAAGCAGCAGGUUAAUACCCCGCUGUUCUGACGGUACCCAAAGAAUAAGCACCGGCUAACUUCGUG
RNAcentral lists this ribosomal RNA (492 nucleotides) under uncultured bacterium. RNAcentral's name for it is "partial 16S ribosomal RNA". It matches the Rfam family "Bacterial small subunit ribosomal RNA", at positions 29 to 507 of the family's 1533-position model. The record is from RNAcentral.